CCCAGACUCCUACGGGAGGCAGCAGUGGGGAAUAUUGCACAAUGGGGGGAACCCUGAUGCAGCGACGCCGCGUGGGUGAAGGAGUAUUUCGGUAUGUAAAGCCCUAUCAGCAGGGAAGAACAAUGACGGUACCUGACUAAGAAGCACCGGCUAAAUACGUGCCAGCAGCCGCGGUAAUACGUAUGGUGCAAGCGUUAUCCGGAUUUACUGGGUGUAAAGGGAGCGCAGGCGGCGCGUUAAGCCUGGUGUGAAAGCCCGCGGCCCAACCCCGGGACUGCUCUUGGAACUGCGUGGCUGGAGUGCAGGAGGGGCAGGCGGAAUUCCUGGUGUAGCGGUGAAAUGCGUAGAUAUCAGGAGGAACACCGGUGGCGAAGGCGGCCUGCUGGACUGCAACUGACGUUGAGGCCCGAAAGUGUGGGGAGCAAACAGGAUUAGAUACCCUAGUA
Molecule: ribosomal RNA, 446 nt
Filed under: uncultured bacterium
Lineage: Bacteria
Description: bacterial SSU rRNA
Rfam family: Bacterial small subunit ribosomal RNA
Source: RNAcentral